This 61-nucleotide transfer RNA is filed under the name Diaphorina citri (Asian citrus psyllid). It matches the Rfam family "tRNA". From Rfam's summary of the family: Transfer RNA (tRNA) molecules are approximately 80 nucleotides in length. Their secondary structure includes four short double-helical elements and three loops (D, anti-codon, and T loops). Further hydrogen bonds mediate the characteristic L-shaped molecular structure. tRNAs have two regions of fundamental functional importance: the anti-codon, which is responsible for specific mRNA codon recognition, and the 3' end, to which the tRNAs corresponding amino acid is attached (by aminoacyl-tRNA synthetases). tRNAs cope with the degeneracy of the genetic code in two manners: having more than one tRNA (with a specific anti-codon) for a particular amino acid; and 'wobble' base-pairing, i.e. permitting non-standard base-pairing at the 3rd anti-codon position. Lineage: Eukaryota; Metazoa; Arthropoda; Insecta; Hemiptera; Psyllidae. The record is from Rfam by way of RNAcentral.
AGCCUGGUAGCGUGUGUGCUUUGUAAGCGCUAGGUAGCGGGUUCGAUUCCCGCCCGGGCCG